This is an RNA transcript of Nycticebus coucang (slow loris), 4029 nucleotides long. It is a transcript of the gene named casein kinase 1 epsilon, with no coding region annotated. The transcript is spliced from 10 exons. NCBI's taxonomy places the organism in Eukaryota, Metazoa, Chordata, Mammalia, Primates, Lorisidae. The record is from RefSeq and is a predicted model, not a curated record.
GGGGGCCGGUGGGCAGGAGGGCCGGGAGGAGAGAGGCGGCGGCGGCGGCAAGAUCCCAGAUCCUGAGUCCGGACAGGGCCGAGCGAAGCGGAACGCGACGGUAGCAGCGGCGGCGGCGGCUGGGCCGGGAGAGGCUGGCGCGCCGGGCGGCUCCGCGAAUCCUCCGGCAUCCGCCCCGGCGGGCCGCCUCCGCCCGCGGCAGCCCCCGGAGCAGCGGCCCGGCACCGGCGCCUUCCUGGCGGGCAAGAGCCAAUCAUGGAGCUACGUGUGGGGAAUAAGUACCGUCUGGGACGGAAGAUUGGGAGCGGGUCCUUCGGAGACAUCUACCUGGGUGCCAACAUUGCGUCUGGUGAAGAAGUCGCCAUCAAGCUUGAGUGUGUGAAAACAAAGCACCCCCAGCUGCAUAUCGAGAGCAAGUUCUACAAGAUGAUGCAGGGGGGAGUGGGGAUCCCAUCCAUCAAGUGGUGUGGAGCCGAGGGGGACUACAAUGUGAUGGUCAUGGAACUGCUGGGGCCCAGCCUCGAGGACCUUUUCAAUUUCUGUUCCCGAAAAUUCAGCCUCAAGACGGUGCUGCUCCUGGCCGACCAGAUGAUCAGCCGUAUAGAGUACAUUCACUCCAAGAACUUCAUCCACCGGGACGUCAAGCCUGACAAUUUCCUCAUGGGUCUAGGGAAGAAGGGCAACCUGGUCUACAUCAUCGACUUUGGCCUGGCCAAGAAGUACCGAGACGCCCGUACCCACCAGCACAUCCCCUACCGGGAAAACAAGAACCUGACUGGCACUGCCCGCUAUGCCUCCAUCAAUACCCACCUGGGCAUCGAACAAAGCCGUCGAGAUGACCUAGAGAGUUUGGGCUACGUGCUCAUGUACUUCAACCUGGGCUCCCUGCCCUGGCAGGGCCUCAAAGCAGCCACCAAGCGCCAGAAGUACGAGCGAAUCAGCGAGAAAAAGAUGUCGACGCCCAUCGAGGUCCUCUGCAAAGGCUACCCCUCGGAGUUCUCCACAUACCUCAACUUUUGCCGUUCCCUGCGGUUUGACGACAAGCCUGACUACUCUUACCUGCGCCAGCUGUUCCGCAACCUCUUCCACCGACAGGGCUUCUCCUACGACUACGUCUUCGACUGGAACAUGCUCAAAUUCGGGGCUUCCUCGAGCCAGGCUCAGCCCCAUGACAGUGAAGCUAUCGCACCAUUCUGUCCCCGCCCCUGUCCCUGUGCCGGGCCCACGUUCCCACCCACAUGCUGGUGCCCGGCCCCCCUGGGCACCCAGGACCCCCCAGAUAGGCCCAUGGAAGAAGUGGAGGAGGUGGAAGAGCUGCCCCCCCAAAACUACUGGCCUGUGGUCUGGACUCCAGGGCCCCGUUUCUGAUGUCGCUGGGUACACCUGAGCCUAUCAUGGCCAGGCCUGAGGAAGUGUCCUCUGCAGUGAUAAGGGUGACUCUUGUGCCCAAGAGGUGGCAGUGCAGUGCAGAGGGCGGGGUGAAGAGGCCCUGCCUCAGAUUCUUGGGAAUGAACCAGCUUCCUGAGGGCAGGAGAGAGCCUGGAGGAGAGAUGGCAACGCGCCUGGGUGUGGCAGAAACGGGCACCAGGAGCAGGCUCACAGCCAGACCCCGGCGCUGGCCUCUGUAUUGCACCUGAGCUUAUUAAACUCCUACCCUGCUUCAUCCUGGUGUGUGUCUCCCUUCAUGUGGGCCCUCAGCCCUUUCUGCCAGAUGCUCAGGAGCGAGGCUUAGUUCUCCCAGACGUGGAGGUCAGCGCCUUGGGCUUGGGCUCCUUUUCUUGCUGGGUUUCAGAAAGUGUCCUGAUCCUGUUCCCUAAGGAGUAGGACAGAGGCUGGGCAGAGAACAGGGGUCUCACAGGCCAAGAACCUCAGGGAGAGGCCUCUGUUGCCCUCCCUUGUGAGGGUAGAGGUGGCAGAUGGGCAGGGGGGCAUGCCUUUUUUUACCCCAGACCAUCUGGAUUGGACUGGGGCCCUCAGGGCUAGCUUUUCUCACCUCAAGGGCAUCAGGCACUGGGCAUUUAUUUGCUCAUCGCUAUACAAAGUCAUUCCUGAGUCUGAUUCUGUGACAGGUUUAGGCCUUCGGCUCAGCACAGUUCCAAGAACAGAUUUCUCAUUUUCUAGACCUCUGCCAUUAAUUAAUUAAACUUAAUAAAAACUGAAAAUGUAGUUCCUCAGUCAUAUUUGACACAUUACAAGUUCUUAGGAGCCAGAAGUGGCUGAGCAAUAGCCACCACAUCCAACAAGACAGAUACGAUCGUUGCCUUCAUCAUCCCAGAAAGUUCUGAGGACAACACUGCUCUAGAUGCCUCCUUGCAGAACUUCUCACGGGACUGUCCAGCCAACAAGAUCUCUUCUCAAGCCAAGUCAGGAGCACCCUCCCUACCUACUGCUGAAGUCCCCCUUGGGGCAGGUCCUGGGGUCAGAAGCAGGGCAGCAGCACCCACAGCAUUACCCUCUUUCAGCCUCUUGUCCAGCCAACAAGAUCUCUUCUCAAGCCAAGUCAGGAGCACCCUCCCUACCCCCGCUUCCUGAAGUCCCCCUUGGGGCAGGUCCUGGGGUCAGAAGCAGGGCAGCAGCACCCACAGCAUUACCCUCUUUCGGCCUCUUGUCCAGCCAACAAGAUCUCUUCUCAAGCCAAGUCAGGAGCACCCUCCCUACCCCCCCUUCCUGAAGUCCCCCUUGGGGCAGGUCCUGGGGUCAGAAGCAGGGCAGCAGCACCCACAGCAUUACCCUCUUCCAGCCUCUGGCGCAUCACUGCUUAGCAACCUCCAUCAGCCCCUGGCAGAAGUAUCUGUAGGAUGGACAGUGGGAACUUUCCACACUUUUCACUCUUGAGAACAGGCCCCUCCCACACUACCCUGUCCUGCAAUCUUUCAUUAAGCACCUGGCAGAGGACAGGACGCUGCUGGGUACCACCAGGCUGCAGACUCUCCUAUAAUGAGGAUUGCGCCCUCAACCUCCUUGGAGUGGUUCACCGCGUUGUUUGGCAUCGGGGCACUAGGAUCCCCGGAGCCCUGGGCCUGGAUCCUGCUCUCAGCACACACAGCCACUGUGUUCUGAGGUCUAGCCAGCAGCGGGGAAGAGAUGCACAGCCAUGGACAGGUCCAUACAGCAAGUGUGGAAACUUGUGACAUGGCUGAACCUUUGUGUUGUGGGGAAAUAAAGGCCAAGGAAGCUCCUUGAUCUGCAUUUCUUAAGGCAUUGCUGGGGUUGGAUUGAAAUAAGGAGAGUUGCUUACCUCCUUCCUCUGAGGCUGGUUUUGGCCUGAGCUUGCUGGGGUCCCACAGGGCUGUGCACCUUGGAGCAAAUCACUUAACUGGGGGAUGAGAUUAACUUGCAUUGCGAAGUCAAUGUGCCCCUGUCCACAGGAGGUUUGAUACGUGAUGCACAACUCUUACUUAUCCCAUGGUCCCUGGUAUAGCUCUGGCUGAGUCACCCUCUUUGCCAUCCUCUAACUGGGUAGGAGCCCAGGGGGAGGCCAGAGGUCAGGAGCUGUAUUCCUGACUCCCAGGUCUGCCUGCGAAGCUUCUGGGUGGGUGGAUGAAGAAAUGUGCCCCUAGAGUAUUCUGCGAAGGCAAGUCUCUGAACAGCUUUCUCUUGGGGUGCAGAGAACACAGUGGGACCAGGUGGAAGACACCUGUGUUCUGACCUCAGCUCCAGAGCCGUGUGACCCCAGGCAGGUCAAGAAGCUCUUCUGAGCCUUGGUACCUUGCUAGGAUCCAGGGAUUGUUGUGAUCCAGCCACCACUUCCUAGAGUUGAAGACAGGCCUACCCUAACCCGAUUUCUUGGCCGGUCCCCUGGGAGAGACACGGGUUGCAAAAGCCCUACCCCAUGGCCCACGAGCAGGCCUCCAACUCAGCCUAUAGCUCUCUCCUCCACAGAUGCGGCCCCCCUCCUGCCAGCCCCCUGCCCUUCUCUGUGGACACCCCCAGGACCAACUAGGGUGCAUCCCGGAACCCCGAGGACGUGGACCGGGAGCGGCGAGAACACGAGCGCGAGGAGAGGAUGGGGCAACUGCGGGGGUCCAC